RNAcentral lists this unclassified non-coding RNA (484 nucleotides) under Hevea brasiliensis (rubber tree). Lineage: Eukaryota; Viridiplantae; Streptophyta; Magnoliopsida; Malpighiales; Euphorbiaceae. The record is from RNAcentral.
GAUGACCAAGGCUGGGGUGAUCGAGGAAUUUGUAAAUGAUGCGGUGGAUUCAGCACUAGAUUCUGAGGAUAUUGAAGAGGAGAUUGAAGAGGAAGUUGACAAAGUUUUGACUGCCAUUGCUGGUGAGACUGCUGCACAGCUUCCAGAAGCUGUCAGGAAGGAAAGGAUGAAGCAACCGGCUCAUGUGCAGGAAGUCCAGGAAGAGGAAGAAGCAAUAGCUGAGGGGGUUGAUGACGAGGAAGAACUAGAAGAGAUAAGGGCUCGACUUGCAAAAGUUAGAUCAUAAAUUUGAUAUUUCACAUAAAAAUGUCAAAAUGGUUGUAACUCGAUUUGAGCGUCAACAGUACUUGUUCUGGUAUCUAAUGAGAGAGAAAAUGAGCGACAUACCAAACUUUCUCUUGUUCAUGUUUGUUUGACCGAGAUUCUUAAACUGAGAGUAUAUUUGUCAAAUAGAUAGGGAGACGGAGAUGGAGUUGGAGACGGA